Molecule: long non-coding RNA, 771 nt
Organism: Panicum hallii
Lineage: Eukaryota; Viridiplantae; Streptophyta; Magnoliopsida; Poales; Poaceae
Exons: 3
Source: RefSeq, a predicted model, not a curated record
GCUCUAACAAACUAGGACUACUCAUGCCAAGAUGUUAUGCGGAGACUGGUUUUAUAAGGAAGGCAAGUGAGGAGCGAAUUUCGAAUAGUUGGAACAAACACUCAAGCCUGACCCAAUCUUCGCAGCAACUGAAAAGAGGGAAAAGGAAAAGUGGAUAGGCGAAUCUAAUGGGGCUGUGCAUCUGUAUGGAGGAGUCCUCUGAGUUUGGUUGCUACCUGUUCUACAUAAGACGCAGAAAGUAGGGGCUUAAAAAUGACGGCAGGCGGGCGCGGGCACGCGAUCCCGCGGCAGGGAAGGGAAUAACGAAAAGCGAUGUUGACAAAGCUGGAGGCGGGGAAUCCCGCGCUUUUUUUUUUCUUCCUCCGGGGCCAGAGAUGAGAAGGAAUAUAUCGCCUGCCUGUGUCGACCUCGCCUGCCUGAUUCUUGUGUUCCGUGGCCUGGUUGUGCUCCGCGCGCGGGCAGAGCGGGGCGCCGUCAGGAUGAGCACGUGUGAACCUGUGGCGCGGGUAUAUCGUUGGUAGUUUGGUACUGUAAGUGUGAGUGCUUUGCUCAGUUGCUGAGUGCUCGUUGCUUGCUGUAUGAACCCAACCCAACUAGCCACUCCUCGUUGCUGGAAGAAGGGGGUGACUUGAAAUUGAUGCCAGUUGAUGGGUGUUCCUCUGUUGUUUUGAUGUAACGAGCUAAUAAUGGUCGUGUUUUCUUUCGAAGACGCUAUUGAUAGUAUUUGUCAUAACUUGUAACAACCCUUUGGAGUUGGAGAUAUUCGUUUCU